Molecule: ribosomal RNA, 504 nt
Filed under: uncultured bacterium
Lineage: Bacteria
Description: partial 16S ribosomal RNA
Rfam family: Bacterial small subunit ribosomal RNA
Source: RNAcentral
AUUGAACGCUGGCGGCAUGCCUUACACAUGCAAGUCGAACGGCAGCAUGGAGAGCUUGCUCUCUGAUGGCGAGUGGCGAACGGGUGAGUAAUGCAUCGGAACGUACCGUGUAAUGGGGGAUAACGUAGCGAAAGUUACGCUAAUACCGCAUACGACCUGAGGGUGAAAGCAGGGGAUCGCAAGACCUUGCGUUAUACGAGCGGCCGAUGUCAGAUUAGCUAGUUGGUGAGGUAAAGGCUCACCAAGGCGACGAUCUGUAGCGGGUCUGAGAGGAUGAUCCGCCACACUGGGACUGGGACACGGCCCAGACUCCUACGGGAGGAAGCAGUGGGGAAUUUUGGACAAGGGGGGCAACCCUGAUCCAGCCAUGCCGCGUGAGUGAAGAAGGCCUUCGGGUUGUAAAGCUCUUUCGGCCGGGAAGAAAUCGCACAGGCUAAUACUCUGUGUGGAUGACGGUACCGGCAUAAGAAGCACCGGCUAACUACGUGCCAGCAGCCGCCGUAA